Molecule: ribosomal RNA, 139 nt
Filed under: Balamuthia mandrillaris
Lineage: Eukaryota; Discosea; Longamoebia; Balamuthiidae
Description: partial small subunit ribosomal RNA
Source: RNAcentral
ACGCCAUGGAAGCUUGUUUGGUUUGAAGAUAUUAAGUCACAUGUUUCGAAGUGAUUAUUCCUUAAUAAGUUCAUGUUAUAUGUGUUACUGGUAUCGACAAUUAUAUAGGUAACUGGGGUGAAGUCGUAACAAGGUAGUG